This is an RNA transcript of Ceratina calcarata, 1213 nucleotides long. RefSeq lists it as uncharacterized. The transcript is spliced from 2 exons. The record is from RefSeq and is a predicted model, not a curated record. Lineage: Eukaryota; Metazoa; Arthropoda; Insecta; Hymenoptera; Apidae.
ACAUCGCCUGGAAAAAAAUACAUACAAAUGGCGAAACACUUCACGGAAGUAACUGAGUAUUCCUUUCGACAGCUUAUUUAUUUUACGACAGUAAAUUUACCAUUUAAAUACAGUUAUAUCUAUUAUGUCGCGUGCACUAUAAUGAUAAUAGUAAGCCAGGAUAGUUCAAUUGUACAUCACUGCAUUACUAUAUAUUUAAUAAAAGUUUCAGAUCUGUUUUAGCUCGCAGAAUUGUGAAGGCGUACUGAAAUACGUUUUAUCAUGUUUAAUACGUUAUCAGGCCGCGAUUAGAUCUCACCAAUAUUGAUAUAUGCCUUCGGAGAUACCUGAUUCAUAUCACUAACUCACCGACAUUCUUUUUCCUAUACUAUAAAACAUUCCGUACAUUUCAAGUUCGCAUGGAUAGAAUGGGCACAAUAUAUCGUAUAAUAACGUCCUUAAAUUAUCAACAUUUCUAAUUGUAAGUUAAAAACUUGCUAAUUUAGAAUAAUUGUUGUUUGAAAUACGUAUUUCAAGUGUUCAAUCUCGGAAGUCGAAAUGAUGGGUCUUUUAUGUUCAUUAACCCUCGCAGCGGUGUCACCGCACCGGUACAGUUAACGAUGCCUCCUCCGACAGAAAGAGUGCCGCUAUACGCUUACUACAUUCAUUCAGAAAGUAUUUCACUGGCUGCGCUCGUGCAUCCAGAUGAACAGGCAAAAUGUAUUCAUACAGAUCCAAGGUUCGUUACUCUGUAAGUCAAAGACCUUGUGUAUCAUGGCAAAACGAAAACACAAAGAUAACGCGACCGAAAUAGAAAGGCACAAUAUGCGAUUAUACCGUCCAAUUAGUAUUUAGUAUAGUAGAUUAGUAUACAUUUGCUGUUAGGAACGGUGAACGGUUUAAAUAUUCAUAAUGUAAUCAGUGGCCACAAAACCACUUUUUCGUGAAGCUGACCCUCAAUCAUUGAAUUUUUAAUUGAAACGACACGAGUUAUUAUUAAAUAAAUAUAAAUCCGUGCGUCUAAUGAACGUUCUCGAUUUUAUUAAAGAUGUUUGAGUUGUGAGAGGAAAAUGGUAAUAGAAUUUCAAGUUAUUCGUGUCAGUUAUCUCAGGUAUUCGUGUCGGCAAGCUCUAAUUCACAGAACUGCAUAUUUGAAAAGUAGUUUUCCUUAUAAAUGUUUAUAGUACGAUUAAGAAAAAUAUGAAAGUGGAUCUUUGUCAAAAGUUGAAGACAA